This 512-nucleotide ribosomal RNA is filed under the name uncultured Gram-positive bacterium. Its description in RNAcentral is "bacterial SSU rRNA". It matches the Rfam family "Bacterial small subunit ribosomal RNA", at positions 8 to 521 of the family's 1533-position model. The record is from RNAcentral.
AGAGUUUGAUCCUGGCUCAGGAUGAACGCUGGCGGCGUGCUUAACACAUGCAAGUCGAGCGAAGCACCCCAUUUGAUUCCUUCGGGAUGAAGGUGGUGUGACUGAGCGGCGGACGGGUGAGUAACGCGUGGGCAACCUGCCUCACACAGGGGGAUAACAGCUAGAAAUGGCUGCUAAUACCGCAUAACCCGCUAGGGCCGCAUGGCCCGGACGGAAAAGAUUUUAUCGGUGUGAGAUGGACCCGCGUCUGAUUAGCUGGUUGGUGGGGUAACGGCCUACCAAGGCGACGAUCAGUAGCCGACCUGAGAGGGUGGCCGGCCACAUUGGGACUGAGACACGGCCCAAACUCCUACGGGAGGCAGCAGUGGGGAAUAUUGCACAAUGGGGGAAACCCUGAUGCAGCAACGCCGCGUGGGUGAAGAAGUAUUUCGGUAUGUAAAGCCCUAUCAGCAGGGAAGAAAAUGACAGUACCUGACUAAUAGCCCGGCUAACUACGUGCCAGCAGCCGCGGU